Molecule: non-coding RNA, 27 nt
Filed under: Mus musculus (house mouse)
Lineage: Eukaryota; Metazoa; Chordata; Mammalia; Rodentia; Muridae
Source: RNAcentral
UAUAUCGUCACCUGGGAGGCACUCUCC